AGAAUCAAAAGUAGUAAACCAAUCUCUAUGCGGGCACAUAUGAAAAGUACACGCAGUGUCAAGUACCCACUCAUCAUUGGUCUCAGCACAUCCAGCAAUAACAACAAGAGCAUCAUCUGAACUUUCAUCACGAGCAACAUUAGCAGAAUUUUCACCUUGUUUGUUACCUUUCGGUUUAUAUGUACCAUUCCUCUUUUCCUUGUUCUGCAACUUGAAACAUUCUGAGAUGUCAUGCCCGUCUCUCUUGCAAUACCUGCAAGACUGCUUCUUGUCUUUAGAUUGCGACCGGCCCCUCUGGCCGUUCUUACUUUUGCCACGGUUUCCAUUGUGUGAGUUCUUCUCCUUUGUCCUGCCACGAACAGAUAAUCCCUCGGCUUGGGAUGAACUCGAACCAUCAUGAGGCACCAUUAAUUUCAUCUUCUCCUUAGAGUUCAAAGCUUCAUAAACUUCAUUAAGCGUGAGAGUAUCACGACUGUAUAAUAUGGUGUCUCGAAAAUUGGUAUAAGAACUUGGCAGCGAACAAAGUAACAUUAAAGCAGUAUCUUCUUCAUCAUACGUAACCUCCAUUGCAGCUAGAUCGGAUAUGAUCUCUUUAAAUUCUGAAAUAUGAUUCAAAACGUUACCUCCCUCGGGUAACCUGUGCAUGAAUAAUUUUUGCUUCAGAUGCAUCUUGCUGGUGAGAUCUUUAGUCAUGCAAAUCCCUUCCAGCUUUAACCAUAGAGCGGCGGCAGUUUUCUCGCUCAAAACUUCCUGCAAAAUAUUAUUAUGCAAAUGGAGUUGAAUUUGUGACAAAGCCUUACGAUCCCUUCUUUUCUCCUCAGCAGUCCAAUCCUCAAUUCUAUUCUUCCCAAAACUAUCCAGUGCAUCAUCGUAGUCGGCCUGCGCCAACAACGCCCGCAUCUUGACUUGCCAUAGGGUAAACCUUGUGUCACGGUCCAGCAGCGGAAGAUCGUACUUCAUGGAUGCCAUGAGUAGAUAAAUCUGUGUACACAAAGUAGUACAAGCCGGCAGAAAAAUUCUUGAUGAAAUUAAUAUGCGGAUGAAACGAAAUAGAAUAAAUAGCACCUGGUAGCUCUUGGGUAGAUGUAGCAAAAGAUGGCAAAGUCCAAAAAAAAACUGAACUAGCACUCAGCCUGCUCCUCCACGUGAGUAGUACUUUGUACUAGCUGCAGCCUUGGCCCUGUAGCGCUUCGAUCUUCACUGUGGGCAGCAGCAGCAACUUGCGUUAACAGCGGCACCAGCAGGACGUAAGCGGAAAAACUCAGUGGAUUGGACAAGUCGACGCAGCGGGCCGAGCGCGGCAACAGGGGUGCGACUUGGAGACAGCAGCUGCAGCGGCUCGGCGCGAUUUGUACGCGUGCGUGCGUACGAACAGAACUUCAGUCGGACUCGGUGUCUUGCUCGAUCUGGCGUCGGAUCGCCGGAUCGCGUGUCGGCGGCAGUGCACGCGACGUACAACCGCUGUAGCAGAAAUCGUGUCGAACUCGGCUCCUGUAUUGAUCCGGAUCAGCGGAUCGCCCGACGUGGCGGCGGCGAGGAAAACCCUAGCUCUCGUCUGAAAUCUCGUAUACGUAGAACCUCAGCUCUGUAUACCACUUGUUAGAUAAAACGGGAUCAACGAGACACGAGAGACACGGAUUUUUACGUGGAAACCCUUGCGGGAGAAAACCACGGACGCACGAAGGCGCAAUCACUAUGAGGAGGAGUAUUACAAGCACGAGACGACAGGCCGUCUUUAGGUGCGACUACAUGGAGUAUAUAUGAGGGGCAAUACAUAAGAGUCCUUGGAGGACAAGUAAACGAGUUGUACUCGUACGCGUCGGUACCAACGCAAAAGCCCACACCGUUUGUACUACGUCUAGUCCAAUACGGUAGAAUUUGGAUCACAAUUUAACAAAAGUGAUGGUUGCUUUAUUAUAAUAUAAAGAAGGGAGAAACCCUUUUUCGGUAUUACCAGCACCAUAGCAACAUAACAGAAGGACAGACGCCACUCCUUGGAAGAGGAGUGAGACUUUUCCAUGUUAUUGCAGGCUAAGUGACCGCAGUACAAAAUGGAGCCACGUUUUCUAACCAGUCAGCUGGCAAGAUAUCUUGACAUCUCAAUGAAGUACAUGAAGCUUUUAUGAGAUCGUGCAAAAUCUAAGUAGCAGGCACAUAUAGAAUCACUGACCUUUGAUUCUUCUAGCCACGUUUUCUAACCAGUCAGCUGUGUAGAUAUCCUGACCUCUCACGAAAGUACAUGAAGUUUUUGUGAGAUCACACUCACAUUUAAUUCAGAAUUUAGAAAUUUUGGGAAGAGAAAAAACGAACUUUAGAUUCUAACCUUCCACAUCUGUAGUAUGUUUGUUGGGAUGGCCGUAGAGAGCAGCGGCCACCACGCGUCCAUUGUCCUGGUCGCAAACCUUAAGAUAGAUCACUAAUACCAAAAGGAAAGUGACAGCGCCAAUCUUCCAGCAUGUUUGCGGCUGUUGGGCAGAAGCACACGGUGUCUCUUGGCUGAAUAGUGUUAACAGCACUGACAGCCAGCAUACUUAUAAAUCGCUAACAUUUCUGCAAAGUUAACAGUGAUUGGUAACCUUGAAAUUCUCGAGCAAGUAAUAGACGAAAGCCAAAAAAGACAUUGACAAAAUGAGGAGCAUAAAUGCAAAACUAACUCUAUUCUAACAUGACAACAGAACCAUCAAUUUCUAGAAUCAGAAAAAAGUAACACAUCCAAGAUGUCACAUAUCAGAAGGACCAUUGGUAUUUACACAGGUUGAUUGCCUUCCUCAUUUUCAGAUUCUAACCACCCCCUUGAAGUUUUUAUUUGUACUUAAUCGUCUUACUAACUCACAAUUAGAAGGAUGGAUGUUUGGUGAAGUAGACAGAUGGUCCCUCUAAAUGAUUUUUUUUUCUAUUCUGAUUCACGCGUCUCAAAUUUUAAAAACUUUGCCUAUUCUGUCCCACAACAAUUUCUUGU
Molecule: long non-coding RNA, 2959 nt
Filed under: Hordeum vulgare
Lineage: Eukaryota; Viridiplantae; Streptophyta; Magnoliopsida; Poales; Poaceae
Description: long non-coding RNA (HVUL_LNC013765)
Source: RNAcentral